CCUACGGGAGGCAGCAGUAAGGAAUCUUCCGCAAUGGGCGAAAGCCUGACGGAGCAACGCCGCGUGGGCGAUGAAGGCCUUCGGGUCGUAAAGCCCUUUUCUGUGGGACGAUAAUGACGGUACCACAGGAAUAAGCCACGGCUAACUACGUGCCAGCAGCCGCGGUAAUACGUAGGUGGCUAGCGUUAUCCGGAUUCACUGGGCGUAAAGGGUGCUCAGGCGGGUCUGUAAGUCAGGGGUGAAAUCCCAGAGCUUAACUCUGGAACUGCCUUUGAUACUGCAGAUCUCGAGUUUGGGAGAGGCGAGUGAAAUAUCUGGUGUAGCAGUGAAAUGCGUAGAUAUCGGAUAGAACACCAAGGGCGAAGGCAGCUCGCUGGCCCAAUACUGACGCUAAAGCACGAAAGCGUGGGGAGCAAACAGGAUUAGAUCCCCUUGUAGU
Molecule: ribosomal RNA, 439 nt
Filed under: uncultured bacterium
Lineage: Bacteria
Description: partial 16S ribosomal RNA
Rfam family: Bacterial small subunit ribosomal RNA
Source: RNAcentral